GCCAGGCAUGAUGGCUCAUGCCUGUAAUCCCAACACUUUGGGAGGCUGAGGUGGGUGGAUCACUUGAGGUCAGGAGUUCAAGACUAGCCUGACCAAAAUGGUGAAACCCCGUCUCUA
This 117-nucleotide non-coding RNA is filed under the name Homo sapiens (human). The record is from Rfam by way of RNAcentral. Lineage: Eukaryota; Metazoa; Chordata; Mammalia; Primates; Hominidae.